This 285-nucleotide long non-coding RNA is filed under the name Spirodela polyrhiza (greater duckweed). RNAcentral's name for it is "long non-coding RNA (SPOL_LNC001648)". Lineage: Eukaryota; Viridiplantae; Streptophyta; Magnoliopsida; Alismatales; Araceae. The record is from RNAcentral.
UUGGAAAUUGGAGGAUUUUUUUGAUGAGAUUUGAGUUUUUAUUAUGAGAAAGUCAAUUCAACUAUGUUUUUAGAAGCUUGGUAUAUAUAUUUUUUUAAAAUUUCUGACCAUUAAUUGAGCACAUAAAAACUUGCCAAAGAGUGGAACUAUUGGCCUGUCAGGAGAAUGUGAAGAGUGAUAUAUACCUUUACAUGCCUGGUCUUUACUUGUCUUCACCUUUUUGAGAAAUGUCAUGGCUAGAUUUACAUAUAGUUUUUAUCAUUCUUAAAAUUAUAACAACACUAC